GUUUUAAUAGUUUAAAUAAAAACUUUGGUCUUGUAAACCAAAAAUGGAAAGUAUUUCUUAAAACU
Molecule: transfer RNA, 65 nt
Filed under: Enoplometopus occidentalis (Hawaiian reef lobster)
Lineage: Eukaryota; Metazoa; Arthropoda; Malacostraca; Decapoda; Enoplometopidae
Description: tRNA-Thr
Rfam family: tRNA
About the family: Transfer RNA (tRNA) molecules are approximately 80 nucleotides in length.
Source: RNAcentral